RNAcentral lists this ribosomal RNA (334 nucleotides) under Ligia baudiniana. RNAcentral describes it as "partial 16S ribosomal RNA". It matches the Rfam family "Bacterial large subunit ribosomal RNA", at positions 1832 to 2605 of the family's 2925-position model. The record is from RNAcentral. Lineage: Eukaryota; Metazoa; Arthropoda; Malacostraca; Isopoda; Ligiidae.
CGCCUGCUCCAAAAAUAUCAGGUAGGGCCUGCCCAAUGAUUAAAUGGCCGCAGUAUCCUGACUGUGCUAAGGUAGCAUAAUAAUUUGUCUCUUAAUUGGAGACUAGAAUGAAAGGUCUGACGUGAUAUUUCUGUCAGAAAUAAAGUAGAGGGACGACAAGACCCUAAAAGCUUUACCGGUUUUCACUGGGGCGGUGUAUACAAUAUAUUUUCCAACACUAUGAGUGAAAGUUACUUUAGGGAUAACAGCAUUAUCUCCCGAGAGAGUCCCCAUCGGCCGGGAGGUUUGUGACCUCGAUGUUGAAUUGAGUAAGUCUGUUCGACUUUUAAAUAUU